This 72-nucleotide transfer RNA is filed under the name Chitinophagaceae bacterium. RNAcentral describes it as "tRNA-Gln". It matches the Rfam family "tRNA". From Rfam's summary of the family: Transfer RNA (tRNA) molecules are approximately 80 nucleotides in length. Their secondary structure includes four short double-helical elements and three loops (D, anti-codon, and T loops). Further hydrogen bonds mediate the characteristic L-shaped molecular structure. tRNAs have two regions of fundamental functional importance: the anti-codon, which is responsible for specific mRNA codon recognition, and the 3' end, to which the tRNAs corresponding amino acid is attached (by aminoacyl-tRNA synthetases). tRNAs cope with the degeneracy of the genetic code in two manners: having more than one tRNA (with a specific anti-codon) for a particular amino acid; and 'wobble' base-pairing, i.e. permitting non-standard base-pairing at the 3rd anti-codon position. The record is from RNAcentral. Lineage: Bacteria; Pseudomonadati; Bacteroidota; Chitinophagia; Chitinophagales; Chitinophagaceae.
UGUUGGAUGGUGCAAUGGUAAGCAUUUCAGAAUUUGAAUCUGAAGAUGUUGGUUCGAAUCCAGCUCCGACAA